RNAcentral lists this ribosomal RNA (392 nucleotides) under uncultured bacterium. Its description in RNAcentral is "bacterial SSU rRNA". It matches the Rfam family "Bacterial small subunit ribosomal RNA", at positions 29 to 426 of the family's 1533-position model. The record is from RNAcentral.
AUUGAACGCUGGCGGCAUGCUUUACACAUGCAAGUCGAACGGUAGCGCGGGGCAACCUGGCGACGAGUGGCGAACGGGUGAGUAAAGCAUCGGAACGUGCCCUGGAAUGGGGGAUAACGUAGCGAAAGUUACGCUAAUACCGCAUAUUCUGUGAGCAGGAAAGCAGGGGAUCGCAAGACCUUGCGUUCUGGGAGCGGCCGAUGUCGGAUUAGCUAGUUGGUGGGGUAAAAGCCUACCAAGGCGACGAUCCGUAGCGGGUCUGAGAGGAUGAUCCGCCACACUGGGACUGAGACACGGCCCAGACUCCUACGGGAGGCAGCAGUGGGGAAUUUUGGACAAUGGGCGGAAGCCUGAUCCAGCCAUGCCGCGUGAGUGAAGAAGGCCUCGGUUGU